This 505-nucleotide ribosomal RNA is filed under the name uncultured bacterium. RNAcentral describes it as "partial 16S ribosomal RNA". It matches the Rfam family "Bacterial small subunit ribosomal RNA", at positions 28 to 507 of the family's 1533-position model. The record is from RNAcentral.
GACGAACGCUGGCGGCGUGCCUAAUACAUGCAAGUAGAACGCACAGUUUAUACCUUAGCUUGCUACACCAUAAACUGUGAGUUGCGAACGGGUGAGUAACGCGUAGGUAACCUGCCUGGUAGCGGGGGAUAACUAUUGGAAACGAUAGCUAAUACCGCAUAAUAUUUAUUAUUGCAUGAUAAUUGAUUGAAAGAUGCUAUUGCAUCACUACCAGAUGGACCUGCGUUGUAUUAGCUAGUAGGUGAGGUAACGGCUCACCUAGGCGACGAUACAUAGCCGAACGGAGAGGGUGAUCGGCCACCCUGGGAGGGAGACACGGCCCAGACGCAUACGGGAGGGAGCAGUAGGGAAUCGUCAGCAAGGGACGAAAGUCUGACCGAGAAACGCCGAGUGAGGGAAGAAGGUUUUCGGAUCGGAAAGCUCUGUUGUAAGGGAAGAACGGGGGUGAGAGUGGAAAGUUCACACUGUGACGGUAUCUUACCAGAAAGGGACGGCUAACUACGUG